CCUAUAUAAUUAAUAUAUAUUAGAUUUUUUGUUAUCAAUUUUUUUUAGAUUUCUAAGCUGACUCCAAGAUGGACGGCAUGUUCUUAAAAUGGCCGCUGAUAGAUAAAACUGGCACAAGUUAAGAAGGGGAAAAUGUUUAGAAAUAGCGUUGGAUUACGAAAGCCAUACCACAGCACGUACACGGGAUUUAGAAAGUACAGAGCUGGAAUAGAUACGAGCUGGUAUCUCUUUUGUGUGUGUGUUCAUGUGUAGUAAGUUCUGCCGGAGGUAAGAGAGAGAUAGAGACAGACAAGUGAAUGGUGCUGCUAGCAAACUAGCCUUUUAUUUCUCCGACUUGGAAUUCUUCGAAGCAUUCCUGAAUAAUUAUUUUUUAGGUUCAAAGUUGAGAGGCCAACUCUCUGCAGUGUAUUCUCUGGACCCAGAGCCUAGUUUUUUCAACGGCUAGGGGAACACAGUGUUCACUGCUGAGUCAGCCCGUUUUAAAAUAAAAUAAUAAAAAUAAAAUACCAUAAAAAUAUUGAAGAUAUUACUAAGUAAUUUUUUUUUUAAACAUUUCUCCUUUUUAUUUCACGGAAGCUAUGUCGUCAAGUUAAUAGGAGAGAGAAAAAGACUGACUGGUAAGAAAUUAGUCCAGCCUGAUUCCCUCCCCCAGUGACCUGGCGACCCAGAAAAAUUACAAUUCCAAUUCCAGAGCAAGAAGAGACUAUGAAGAUGAUCAUUAUUCAACUGUUGAUAAAAAAUAAUUAUUAGAACAAUAAUAAUCAAGU
This is a long non-coding RNA of Cotesia glomerata, 767 nucleotides long. RefSeq lists it as uncharacterized. The record is from RefSeq and is a predicted model, not a curated record. NCBI's taxonomy places the organism in Eukaryota, Metazoa, Arthropoda, Insecta, Hymenoptera, Braconidae. The transcript has 3 exons.